Hordeum vulgare subsp. vulgare (domesticated barley) is the source of this 215-nucleotide long non-coding RNA. RefSeq lists it as uncharacterized. The record is from RefSeq and is a predicted model, not a curated record. The transcript has 3 exons. Lineage: Eukaryota; Viridiplantae; Streptophyta; Magnoliopsida; Poales; Poaceae.
AUCUCAUUAGAGGAUCUUUUGCAAGCUUGCUCCCUUUGGGAGAAAUUUGAUGUCCCAGUAAUGCUCCGGAAAUUUGAUAGUGGAGUGAAGGUGAUCCAGACCAAGACGCAUAGUGAUGAUGAGGUAUUUGCAAGAAUCUCAUCACUCGCGCAAAAGCCGGAUGCUCUUCUGAAAGGAAUAAGCCCCAGCGACGCUGCAUUUACACUGGGGAUUGC